Molecule: ribosomal RNA, 629 nt
Filed under: uncultured bacterium
Lineage: Bacteria
Description: partial 16S ribosomal RNA
Rfam family: Bacterial small subunit ribosomal RNA
Source: RNAcentral
GUCGCAUGCUCCCGGCCGCCAUGGCGGCCGCGGGAAUUCGAUUAGAGUUUGAUCAUGGCUCAGGAUGAACGCUAGCGGCAGGCUUAAUACAUGCAAGUCGAGGGGCAUCAGCUUAUAGCAAUAUAGGGCUGGCGACCGGCAAACGGGUGCGGAACACGUACACAACCUUCCUUUAAGAGGGGGAUAGCCCAUAGAAAUGUGGAUUAAUACCCCGUAAGAUAGUGGGAUGGCAUCAUACUACUAUUAUAGUUACGACGCUUGAAGAUGGGUGUGCGUCUGAUUAGGUAGUUGGCGGGGUAAAGGCCCACCAAGCCUUCGAUCAGUAGCUGAUGUGAGAGCAUGAUCAGCCACACGGGCACUGAGACACGGGCCCGACUCCUACGGGAGGCAGCAGUAAGGAAUAUUGGUCAAUGGACGCAAGUCUGAACCAGCCAUGCCGCGUGAAGGAUGAAGGUCCUCUGGAUUGUAAACUUCUUUUAUAGGGGGCGAAAAAAGGGAAAUCUUUCUCACUUGACAGUACCCUAUGAAUAAGCACCGGCUAACUCCGUGCCAGCAGCCGCGGUAAUACGAAUCACUAGUGAAUUCGCGGCCGCCUGCAGGUCGACCAUAUGGGAGAGCUCCCAACGCGU